UAACCUGCCCAAGAUAUCGGGAUAACACCUGGAAACAGAUGCUAAUACCGGAUAACAACAGAUGAUGCCUAUCAACUGUUUAAAAGAUGGUUCUGCUAUCACUCUUGGAUGGACCUGCGGUGCAUUAGCUAGUUGGUAGGGUAACGGCCUACCAAGGCGAUGAUGCAUAGCCGAGUUGAGAGACUGAUCGGCCACAUUGGGACUGAGACACGGCCCAAACUCCUACGGGAGGCAGCAGUC
Molecule: ribosomal RNA, 240 nt
Filed under: uncultured Lactobacillus sp.
Lineage: Bacteria; Bacillati; Bacillota; Bacilli; Lactobacillales; Lactobacillaceae
Description: partial 16S ribosomal RNA
Rfam family: Bacterial small subunit ribosomal RNA
Source: RNAcentral